AGAGUUUGAUCCUGGCUCAGAAUCAACGCUGGCGGCGCGCUUAACACAUGCAAGUCGCACGAGAAAGGGAGCAAUCCUAAGUAAAGUGGCGCACGGGUGAGUAACACGUGGAUCAUCUACCUUUUAGUGGGGAAUACCUCUGGGAAACCGGAGACAAUACCGCAUAAGCCCGCAAGGGGAAAGCAGCAAUGCGCUGAAAGAGGAGUCCGCGGCCGAUUAGCUAGUUGGCGGGGUAACGGCCCACCAAGGCGAAGAUCGGUAGCCGGCCUGAGAGGGCACACGGCCACACUGGCACUGAAACACGGGCCAGACUCCUACGGGAGGCAGCAGUGGGGAAUCUUGCACAAUGGGCGAAAGCCUGAUGCAGCGACGCCGCGUGAGCGAUGAAGCCCUUCGGGGUGUAAAGCUCUUUCGACGGGAACGAUAAUGACGGUACCCGGAGAAGAAGCUGCGGCUAACUACGUGCCAGCAGCCGCGGUAAUACGUAGGCAGCGAGCGUUGUUCGGAAUUACUGGGCGUAAAGAGUGUGUAGGCGGUGUUCCCAGUCUGUUGUGAAAUCUCCCGGCUUAACUGGGAGGGUGCAGCGGAAACUAGAAUGCUAGAGGGUGGGAGAGGUAAGCGGAAUUCCUGGUGUAGCGGCGAAAUGCGUAGAUAUCAGGAGGAACACCUGUGGUGUAGACAGCUUACUGGACCACUUCUGACGCUGAGACACGAAAGCGUGGGUAGCAAACAGGAUUAGAUACCCUAGUAGUCC
Molecule: ribosomal RNA, 754 nt
Filed under: uncultured bacterium
Lineage: Bacteria
Description: bacterial SSU rRNA
Rfam family: Bacterial small subunit ribosomal RNA
Source: RNAcentral